Molecule: long non-coding RNA, 858 nt
Filed under: Homo sapiens (human)
Lineage: Eukaryota; Metazoa; Chordata; Mammalia; Primates; Hominidae
Description: HSALNT0298986
Source: RNAcentral
GCCGUCGCCGCUGGCUCCGCCCACCGCGUGGUCCAAGGACCACCACCCGCCACCGCCGCGCGAGCGUACUAUUGCGGCCGCCCUCUGCUGCGCCUGAAGAGAGAGGCGACUCUACAAGCCUCACAGCAUGCACUGUUACUAAAAAGACGAUGCGUCCUCCUGGACCUGAGAUCUGUGUGAUCGUGGGAAAGCGACGAAAAACGUACGUAAUUUUUUUCUGAAGGCACCUUCGGGACACCUUACCCUUCCCUCAGGGGGGCCCAGCUUCGCGCGCGGUGCUGUGGGGGUUGUAGUUCCUCCGCCGGAGCGGGACCUCCGGUGCCCCGGGCCAGGGAUGUGAGAAAGAAGCGAGCCCUCGAGUUUCCUCGGGGCAUGUGGGAAGGUUUUUUUCAGGAUCCAGGCAGAACCUUACAGAGCUGGGAGUUUUUUAACUUUCCAUUCCUGGCAGUGACGCCAGGAGCUUUAAGUGAUGGAAAUAUGCGAGUCAAUCAGUGGAUGGUGAACAAAGGAACAGUAAAUGGAGUAACUUGGCUAGAAUAUGGCAGUAACUACAAGGCAUGUUCUGCUCUGGCACGAAGUCUCGCUCUGUCACCCAGGCUGGAGUGCAAUGGCACGAUCUUGGCUCACUGCAACCUCUGCCUCCCAGGUUCAAGCGAUUCUUCUGCCUCAGCCUCCUGAGUAGCUGGGAUUACAGACAACCCACCUGAGGCACCAGACACAUGAGUGAAGCCAUCUUGGACAUCCCAGUCACAGCCAAACUCACUCCUGAGUGCAUCUGCAUGAUGAACCCAGCAAUCCCCACCAUGGAGCAAAGGAUCCAUCCAGUCAACCCAAAGAAUCGUGAAAAAUAAUAAAUUG